AGACAACAAAAUGUUUAAUAUUAUUAUUUUGUCACCUUAGGUCGAUCGGUAUCUCACGUUUUUAAUUUAUUAAGAAUUUCAUUUCCUAAGUUUUUCUAGGUCACACCCAUUAUUUUUCCUGGGCCAUUAGCUCAGGUGGUUAGAGCGCACCCCUGAUAAGGGUGAGGUCCCUGGUUCAAGUCCAGGAUGGCCCAUAUCUCUAUGUUGGGGGUAUAGCUCAGUUGGUAGAGCGCCUGCUUUGCAAGCAGGAUGUCAGCGGUUCGAGUCCGCUUACCUCCACUGAUCACCACCUCUUCCAUAAUCGGUAGAAAGGAAAUUUUUUGAGUUGUGAUCAAAUUCUGAAAGAAUCUAGCUUCCUAAUGAAAUCAUUAAGAUGCUGGACUCAUUGAAUUAAUUUCAUUGUUUUCAGAGAACCUUGACAACUGCAUAGAUUAUUUUUAAAGACAAUAAGCAUCUUUAAUGAUGCAGAUUUAUUAUUUGUGCAAAUGCAUUAAUAACAAUUCUAUUAAGCUGAUGCUUCAAUAUUUGAAGUUAUU
This 536-nucleotide transfer RNA is filed under the name uncultured cyanobacterium. Its description in RNAcentral is "partial 16S-23S intergenic spacer". The stretch from base 207 to 279 matches the Rfam family "tRNA". The record is from RNAcentral. Lineage: Bacteria; Bacillati; Cyanobacteriota.